GACGAACGCUGGCGGCGUGCUUAACACAUGCAAGUCGAACGGAAAGGCCCUGCUUUUGUGGGGUGCUCGAGUGGCGAAAGGGUGAGUAACACGUGAGUAACCUGCCCUUGACUUUGGGAUAACUUCAGGAAACUGGGGCUAAUACCGGAUAGGAGCUCCUGCUGCAUGGUGGGGGUUGGAAAGUUUCGGCGGUUGGGGAUGGACUGGCGGCUUAUCAGCUUGUUGGUGGGGUAGUGGCUUACCAAGGCUUUGACGGGUAGCCGGCCUGAGAGGGUGACCGGCCACAUUGGGACUGAGAUACGGCCCAGACUCCUACGGGAGGCAGCAGUGGGGAAUAUUGCACAAUGGGCGGAAGCCUGAUGCAGCAACGCCGCGUGCGGGAUGACGGCCUUCGGGUUGUAAACCGCUUUCGCCUGUGACGAAGCGUGAGUGACGGUAAUGGGUAAAGAAGCACCGGCUAACUACGUG
Molecule: ribosomal RNA, 468 nt
Filed under: uncultured bacterium
Lineage: Bacteria
Description: partial 16S ribosomal RNA
Rfam family: Bacterial small subunit ribosomal RNA
Source: RNAcentral